GGGGCGGAAAUCCCGGUGUAGUGGUGGAAUGCGUAGAUAUCGGGAAGAACGCCAGAGGCGAAGGCGGCCUCCUGGCAUUUUACUGACGCUGAGGCACGAAAGCGUGGGUAGCGAACGGGAUUAGAUACCCCGGUAGUCCACGCUGUAACGAUGUGAACGAGGUGUGGGCAGUGUAGAAGCCGUCUGUGCCGGAGCAAACGCGAUAAGUUCACCGCCUGGGGAGUACGGUCGCAAGGCUAGAACCCAAAGGAAUUGACGGGGGCCCGCACAAGCAGCGGAGCGUGUGGUUUAAUUCGAUGCAACGCGAAGAACCUUACCUGGGCUUGACAUGUACGUAGUAGUGAAGGGAAACCGGAACGAGCCUUCGGGCAGCGUAGACAGGUGCUGCAUGGCUGUCGUCAGCUCGUGUCGUGAGAUGUUGGGUUAAGUCCCGCAACGAGCGCAACCCGUGUUGCUAGUUACAAGUGUCUAGCGAGACUGCCGGUAACAAGCCGGAGGAAGGUGCGGAUGAUGUCAAGUCAGCAUGGCCUAUAUGUCCAGGGCUACACACACGCUACAAUGGCUGGUACAAAGAGAAGCGAAAGGGAGACCUGAAGCGAAUCUCAUCAAAGCCAGUCAUAGUUCGGAUUGCAGGCUGCAACUCGCCUGCAUGAAGUCGGAGUUGCUAGUAACCGCAGGUCAGCAAUACUGCGGUGAAUACGUUCCCGGGCCUUGUACACAC
RNAcentral lists this ribosomal RNA (721 nucleotides) under uncultured bacterium. Its description in RNAcentral is "bacterial SSU rRNA". It matches the Rfam family "Bacterial small subunit ribosomal RNA", at positions 658 to 1390 of the family's 1533-position model. The record is from RNAcentral.